CAGGGUUCUUCUCUGGGAGAAGCAGAGGAGGUAGAAAGUGGCUAUGACACAGAGGCAAAGACCCGGAUCAAGAAGGAUGGGGCGGCGCACCAUGGAAUCACCUGGAGCUGUGGGCAGGGAGGAAGAGUCCACCACCAAAGGAACUGUGGUUCCAUUACUCCAGUUACCUCAUGCCUCGUCUGGGACCAGAAAGCAAUCAAUAGUUCAAUCAAGGAGUCCUCAACUAUUUUUACUUUAAAUUUCCAGCCUUUUCUGCAACAUACUACAACAAGCAUGAAGAUACUGCUCUGAUACAUGCUAAGCCUCU
RNAcentral lists this long non-coding RNA (307 nucleotides) under Ictidomys tridecemlineatus (thirteen-lined ground squirrel). Its description in RNAcentral is "lncRNA (ENSSTOG00000034524.1)". The record is from RNAcentral. Lineage: Eukaryota; Metazoa; Chordata; Mammalia; Rodentia; Sciuridae.